GAGGGGAAUAGUAGCGGAGAAGAUUUGGCCCACCUCCCUUCCGUGUCUAUUGUUCCCUGUUGCUUCGGCGGGCCCGCCGCCUGUCGGCCGCCGGGGGGGCGCCUCUGCCCCCCGGGCCCGUGCCCGCCGGAGACCCCGCCUCGUUCUCUGUCUGUCGGCGUGCGGUCUGUGUUGGUUGCGUGCCCUCCGUUCCUGCUUUCCGCGGUGGCUCUCUUGGUUCCGGCUUCGGUGAGGAGCGCGGCGUGGUGCGGUCUCUUGUGUGUUUUGCUGAUUUCUGUGUUUCUUCGCGUCUUUGAGCGCUCUUUGCGCCCCCUGGUCUUCCGGGGGGCGUGCCUGUCCGAGCGUCUUUGCUGCCCUGCGGCCCGGCUUGUGUGUUGGGUCGCCGUCCCCCUCUCCGGGGGGACGGGCCCGAAAGGCAGCGGCGGCACCGCGUCCGAUCCUCGAGCGUAUGGGGCUUUGUCACAUGCUCUGUAGGAUUGGCCGGCGCCUGCCGACGUUUUCCAACCAUUCUUUCCAGGUUGACCUCGGAUCAGGUAGGGAUACCCGCUGAACUUAAGCAUAUCAAUAAGCCGGAGGAAAAAAAAAAAAAAAAAGGACA
RNAcentral lists this unclassified non-coding RNA (598 nucleotides) under Aspergillus niger. RNAcentral describes it as "sequence contains ITS1, 5.8S rRNA gene and ITS2". The stretch from base 194 to 347 matches the Rfam family "5.8S ribosomal RNA". Lineage: Eukaryota; Fungi; Ascomycota; Eurotiomycetes; Eurotiales; Aspergillaceae. The record is from RNAcentral.